GCGUUGAAACACCGGUUCUCGUACGAUCACCGAUUUUAAGCAACUUCAAGCCUGGCCAGUAUCUAGAUGGGUGAUUGCUUGGGAAUACCAGGUGCUGUA
Non-coding RNA from Acanthosepion pharaonis, 99 nucleotides. NCBI's taxonomy places the organism in Eukaryota, Metazoa, Mollusca, Cephalopoda, Sepiida, Sepiidae. The record is from the annotation of a GenBank genome assembly.